Molecule: ribosomal RNA, 492 nt
Filed under: uncultured bacterium
Lineage: Bacteria
Description: partial 16S ribosomal RNA
Rfam family: Bacterial small subunit ribosomal RNA
Source: RNAcentral
AGUGAACGCUGGCGGUAGGCCUAACACAUGCAAGUCGGACGGCAGCACAGUAAGAGCUUGCUCUUACGGGUGGCGAGUGGCGGACGGGUGAGGAAUACAUCGGAAUCUACUUUUUCGUGGGGGAUAACGUAGGGAAACUUACGCUAAUACCGCAUACGACCUACGGGUGAAAGCAGGGGAUCUUCGCACCUUGCGCGAUUGAAUGAGCCGAUGUCGGAUUAGCUAGUUGGCGGGGUAAAGGCCCACCAAGGCGACGAUCCGUAGCUGGUCUGAGAGGAUGAUCAGCCACACUGGAACUGAGACACGGUCCAGACUCCUACGGGAGGCAGCAGUGGGGAAUAUUGGACAAUGGGCGCAAGCCUGAUCCAGCCAUACCGCGUGGGUGAAGAAGGCCUUCGGGUUGUAAAGCCCUUUUGUUGGGAAAGAAAAGCAGCAGGUUAAUACCCCGCUGUUCUGACGGUACCCAAAGAAUAAGCACCGGCUAACUUCGUG